This is a long non-coding RNA of Apis mellifera (honey bee), 253 nucleotides long. RefSeq lists it as uncharacterized. The record is from RefSeq and is a predicted model, not a curated record. NCBI's taxonomy places the organism in Eukaryota, Metazoa, Arthropoda, Insecta, Hymenoptera, Apidae. The transcript is spliced from 2 exons.
AACACAUUUUAUUUCUUACAUUCAUAUAAUAAAUAUAUUAUAAUUUAUUAUAAGUAUUUAUUGUUUAACAAUUUUGUGUACAGUUUGAUACAUUGAAUAAUCUAUAUAUCUAGUGAUUUUUCUAACCUUAAUGUCGUAUGAUUGAAUGAUACUGAUCAAGUCAAGACCGGUCAAAGACAUUUCGAUAGAUCACUAACACCAUACGUGCAAUCCAAUGACUGAAACGCCACGAGUAUCAUACGCUUAAUUUUAU